Molecule: long non-coding RNA, 621 nt
Organism: Lathyrus oleraceus (garden pea)
Lineage: Eukaryota; Viridiplantae; Streptophyta; Magnoliopsida; Fabales; Fabaceae
Exons: 4
Source: RefSeq, a predicted model, not a curated record
GCCGACACGAGUUGGUGGCUAAGUUUUACUUUACCAUUCCGCUUCUGUUUUGAUAGGAGCAGUGGCUAGUUUUGAAGGCGUGCAUCAUUUACAUUCAAUGCAGGAGGUGCUUUGGAUUUUUUCUUGGGAUGCUUUGCCUGUGUUGAACUGAUAUGUGAGCUGCUAUACUUGAUGCUCAUUGUAUUGUAUAUCUUUUGAUCGGGGUCUCCCAGGGGCUGCAUAGGUUUCUAGGUUGCUUAAGAUUUGUAUUGUCUUGGAUGGUGACGCAUUCUGGACUGUGCUUAUCCGGACACGGCGUAUUGCUUGUUAGAUUUUUUGGAAGUCUGUUUCUUCUUGGCAUGUUGUUGGCUUUUGGACUCUGUAGAUUGCAUCACGCUGUUAGAAGGUACCCUGCAGGCUUUAGAACGAACUUGUAACAGUCUGUAGAAAUGAGUGUAGGGAAAAGCCGGGCAAGCAUCAUGGCAAAGGGAUAUGUUCUUUCCAAUUUGAAGCUUAUUCCUGUCGUUUUGACUUGACUGUAAUGUAAUCUUAGAUCAUAAGGUUGGGACUUGUGUGAACCAUGAAGUUUAACCAUACAAAUUGUAAAUCUAUGCCUGUAUUAAUAAAACUUAGGAACAUCAA